AGUGAACGCUGGCGGUAGGCCUAACACAUGCAAGUCGAACGGCAGCACAGUAAGAGCUUGCUCUUACGGGUGGCGAGUGGCGGACGGGUGAGGAAUACAUCGGAAUCUACUUUUUCGUGGGGGAUAACGUAGGGAAACUUACGCUAAUACCGCAUACGACCUACGGGUGAAAGCAGGGGAUCUUCGGACCUUGCGCGAUUGAAUGAGCCGAUGUCGGAUUAGCUAGUUGGCGGGGUAAAGGCCCACCAAGGCGACGAUCCGUAGCUGGUCUGAGAGGAUGAUCAGCCACACUGGAACUGAGACACGGUCCAGACUCCUACGGGAGGCGGCAGUGGGGAAUAUUGGACAAUGGGCGCAAGCCUGAUCCAGCCAUACCGCGUGGGUGAAGAAGGCCUUCGGGUUGUAAAGCCCUUUUGUUGGGAAAGAAAAGCAGCAGGUUAAUACCCCGCUGUUCUGACGGUACCCAAAGAAUAAGCACCGGUUAACUUCGUG
This 492-nucleotide ribosomal RNA is filed under the name uncultured bacterium. Its description in RNAcentral is "partial 16S ribosomal RNA". It matches the Rfam family "Bacterial small subunit ribosomal RNA", at positions 29 to 507 of the family's 1533-position model. The record is from RNAcentral.